Molecule: ribosomal RNA, 381 nt
Filed under: uncultured eukaryote
Lineage: Eukaryota
Description: partial 18S ribosomal RNA
Rfam family: Eukaryotic small subunit ribosomal RNA
Source: RNAcentral
CAAUAGCGUAUAUUAAAGCUGUUGCGGUUAAAAAGCUCGUAGUUGGAUUUCUGUCAAGGACAACUGGUCCGCCCUCCGGGUGAGCACAUAGUUUGGUCUUGACAUCUUGCUGGAAGCUGUUGCUGUACUUGGCUGUGUGGCGCAGUGUUCAGCACUUUCACUUUGAGGAAAUUGGAGUGUUUCAAGCAGGCACAUGCCUUUGGACACAGUAGCAUGGAAUAAUUAGAUUGGGCUUUUGCUCCAAUUUGUCGGUUUCUGGAGCUGAGGUGAGUAUUAAUGGGGAUUGUUGGGGGCAUCCGAAUUUAGCCGUCAGAGGUGAAAUUCUUGGAUCUGCUAAAGACGGACAACUGCGAAAGCGUUUGCCCAGGAUGUUUNCAUUGA